AACGAACGCUGGCGGCAGGCCUAACACAUGCAAGUCGAGCGCCCCGCAAGGGGAGCGGCGGACGGGUGAGUAACGCGUGGGAACGUACCCUUUGCUACGGAAUAGCCUCGGGAAACUGGGAGUAAUACCGUAUGUGCCCUUCGGGGGAAAGGAUUUAUCGGCAAAGGAUCGGCCCGCGUUGGAUUAGGUAGUUGGUGGGGUAAUGGCCUACCAAGCCGACGAUCCAUAGCUGGUUUGAGAGGAUGAUCAGCCACACUGGGACUGAGACACGGCCCAGACUCCUACGGGAGGCAGCAGUGGGGAAUCUUAGACAAUGGGCGCAAGCCUGAUCUAGCCAUGCCGCGUGAGCGAUGAAGGCCUUAGGGUUGUAAAGCUCUUUCAGUGGGGAAGGAUAAUGACUGUACCCACAGAAGAAGCCCGGCUAACUCCGUGCCAGCAGCCGCGGUAAAGUACAGUGU
RNAcentral lists this ribosomal RNA (458 nucleotides) under uncultured bacterium. Its description in RNAcentral is "bacterial SSU rRNA". It matches the Rfam family "Bacterial small subunit ribosomal RNA", at positions 29 to 533 of the family's 1533-position model. The record is from RNAcentral.